UACGUAGGUGGCAAGCGUUGCUCGGAAUCACUGGGCGUAAAGGGUGCGUAGGCGGGUCUUUAAGUCAGAGGUGAAAUCCUGGAGCUCAACUCCAGAACUGCCUUUGAUACUGAAGAUCUUGAGUUCGGGAGAGGUGAGUGGAACUGCGAGUGUAGAGGUGAAAUUCGUAGAUAUUCGCAAGAACACCAGUGGCGAAGGCGGCUCACUGGCCCGAUACUGACGCUGAGGCACGAAAGCGUGGGGAGCAAACAGG
This 253-nucleotide ribosomal RNA is filed under the name uncultured bacterium. RNAcentral's name for it is "partial 16S ribosomal RNA". It matches the Rfam family "Bacterial small subunit ribosomal RNA", at positions 524 to 776 of the family's 1533-position model. The record is from RNAcentral.